Molecule: transfer RNA, 73 nt
Filed under: Vicugna pacos (alpaca)
Lineage: Eukaryota; Metazoa; Chordata; Mammalia; Artiodactyla; Camelidae
Description: tRNA-Ile (GAT) (tRNA-Ile-GAT-1-1)
Rfam family: tRNA
About the family: Transfer RNA (tRNA) molecules are approximately 80 nucleotides in length.
Source: RNAcentral
GGCGGGUAUAGCUCAGUGGUAGAGCACAUGCUUGAUGUGCAUGAGGUCCUGGGUUCAAUUCCCAGUACCUCCG